UUUCCGUAGGUGAACCUGCGGAAGGAUCAUUCAUAAUAUGUGUUUUAUGGCACUUUUUUAAAUCCAUAUCCACCUUGUUUGCAAUGUCAGGGUUGACUUUUCUCUCUAAAGGAUCAGCCCCAAACAUCAACUAUAUCUCACCUCAUUGUCUGAAAAAUAUUAUGAAUAAAACAAUUCAAAAUACAACUUUCAACAACGGAUCUCUUGGCUCUC
Molecule: unclassified non-coding RNA, 213 nt
Filed under: plant metagenome
Description: partial contains small subunit ribosomal RNA, internal transcribed spacer 1, and 5.8S ribosomal RNA
Source: RNAcentral